This 356-nucleotide RNase P RNA is filed under the name Candidatus Olsenella excrementigallinarum. RNAcentral describes it as "RNase P RNA component class A". It matches the Rfam family "Bacterial RNase P class A". From Rfam's summary of the family: Ribonuclease P (RNase P) is a ubiquitous endoribonuclease, found in archaea, bacteria and eukarya as well as chloroplasts and mitochondria. Its best characterised activity is the generation of mature 5'-ends of tRNAs by cleaving the 5'-leader elements of precursor-tRNAs. Cellular RNase Ps are ribonucleoproteins. Lineage: Bacteria; Bacillati; Actinomycetota; Coriobacteriia; Coriobacteriales; Atopobiaceae. The record is from RNAcentral.
GAGGUGGGCCAGGCGACCGCGGGGCGCGUUCGCGCGCCAUGAGGAAAGUCCGGGCUCCACAGGGCAGGAUGCCGGCUAACGGCCGGGCGGGGUAACCCGACGGAAAGCGCCGCAGAAAAGAAGACUCCCGCUGGCGGGUUCGCCCGUUGAGGGAAAAGCUGAAACGGUGGUGUAAGAGACCACCAGCGUCGUGGCAACACGGCGGCUUGGCAAGCCCCAUCCGGAGCAAACGCAAAUAGGAGCGCCAUGGUGUGGCCCGCACCGCGCUCGGGUUGCGCGCUCGAGGCGACCGGAGACGGUCGUCCUAGAUAAAUGGCCGCCCACGACAGAACCCGGCUUACAGGCUCACCUCGCAC